RNAcentral lists this ribosomal RNA (214 nucleotides) under uncultured soil bacterium. RNAcentral describes it as "partial 16S ribosomal RNA". It matches the Rfam family "Bacterial small subunit ribosomal RNA", at positions 26 to 267 of the family's 1533-position model. The record is from RNAcentral.
AGAACGAACGCUGGCGGCAUGCCUAAUACAUGCAAGUCGAACGGAACUCUUCGGAGUUAGUGGCGCACGGGUGCGUAACGCGUGGGAAUCUGCCCUUGGGUUCGGAAUAACAGUUGGAAACGACUGCUAAUACCGGAUGAUGACGAAAGUCCAAAGAUUUAUCGCCCAGGGAUGAGCCCGCGUAGGAUUAGCUAGUUGGUGAGGUAAAGGCUCA